CAGGCUCAGUCACUGAGUCGCCGACUCGUCCACCGAUCGAGCGAAAAUAGUCGUCUCAGGGAUGAUCUCCACGGUCCUUAUCCGUGUAGGAUCCUUCCUCACAUUUCCGAGGACGGACGGAGUCCAGUCCACGAUUCCGGCUCCGGGAACUCGUUCCUGAGGCGGAACACCAGCUCCUUGCAUUCUCCCCAGUGCCAGUGCGCUGCCGCGAUUCAUCUUGAAACAGAGGGCGGGGGGAAGAAGUGUCUUCUUCGACGAGCCGGAGCCAAUCUAGCCGGAUCGAACCGCUCUCCUCCGAUCUCGGAGAAGGUGGCGGAGGAAGAGGAGGAUGAUCUGGCGGUGAAAUGGUGCGAUCUUGGAAUGUCGGUGCUGGCUAGGCUAGCGGGGCAGAUGGAGUACUCAGGCGGCGGGACGGGAAAGGGGAAGAAUGUCGGCCGAGGCAGGAGGGGCGGAGACGGCGAUCAUGACGACAACCGAAGGAUCUCGAUCGGAUUACUACCAGCAGAUGUUGGAGACCGACUCUGCUAAUGACAAAUGUUAAUUUUCUUGAUCUUUGCUUUAGCAUUCGGAGGAUGACGAGACAAGAAGCAGCAAGAUAAGGAAAGAGACCAACAGCAGUGGACGCAGAUGACAAAUGUUGAUGUUCUUGAUUUUUCCUAUUGGAUUCUUCUUCAUCUUCUUUAAUAUUUUCCUGGAUUCUUCUCCAUCUCUGAGUGUAGAACUCUUGAGAAACUUGUAAAGUAGUGGAAGAUUUCGUGCCAGUUCGGAUCAUCAUCUUGCUUUUGGUAUCAGUAGAUGAGUUGAUCUUGUAAGGCAUGUCAAAAGAGAAGUUGGAAAGUUAGAGCAGUCUAAAAAAAUUCUCAAACUUCUCGUGUUGUUCUAGUACAUGAGCAGCUUGAGCUCGAGCAAGUCAUCAAUACACACGAGUCUGCAGUGCAGCUCUCUGAUCAGUUACCUCAUGAAGAGAAAAAGUUAUUGCCUCAGACCUGUCAUGAGAAAGAAAUUAAUCACGCAUUGUGAAUGAACUCUCAACUAAUUUGUCAGUUGCAAGUCAAGCAGCAACUGAGGAUUUAAUUCAAUCCUGAGGAUGGAUGUGGAUAGUCGAGCGGCAAAUCAGAAGCAAGGAGAAGUAUCUAGGGACAAAAGUAAAAUGAGAGGGCAAGUAUAGUUUCAAUUCAUGUCCCAUAUAUGAAUAUGGGAUAUCAAAUGUGUUGUUGAAUUGUGUGGUUUUUCUAGACUACAAUGAG
Long non-coding RNA from Zingiber officinale, 1247 nucleotides. RefSeq lists it as uncharacterized. NCBI's taxonomy places the organism in Eukaryota, Viridiplantae, Streptophyta, Magnoliopsida, Zingiberales, Zingiberaceae. The transcript is spliced from 3 exons. The record is from RefSeq and is a predicted model, not a curated record.